GAGAGUUUGAUCCUGGCUCAGGACGAACGCUGGCGGCGUGCCUAACACAUGCAAGUCGAACGAGGUCCAUGCAGUGGCAACACUGCGGAAGACCUAGUGGCGAACGGGUGAGUAACACGUGAGGAACCUGCCCCGAAGACCGGGAUAACCCUCCGAAAGGAGAGCUAAUACCGGAUACCCCCACCGGAUCGCAUGAUCUGGUGAGGAAAUGGAUUCCGCUUCGGGAGGGCCUCGCGGCCUAUCAGCUUGUUGGUGGGGUAACGGCCCACCAAGGCAUCGACGGGUAGCUGGUCUGAGAGGACGAUCAGCCACACUGGGACUGAGACACGGCCCAGACUCCUACGGGAGGCAGCAGUGGGGAAUCUUGCGCAAUGGGCGAAAGCCUGACGCAGCAACGCCGCGUGGGGGAUGAAGGCUCUCGGGUUGUAAACCCCUUUCAGCAGGACGAAUCAAGACGGUACCUGCAGAAGAAGCCCCGGCUAACUACGUGCCAGCAGCCGCGGUAACACGUAGGGGCAAGCGUUCGG
RNAcentral lists this ribosomal RNA (527 nucleotides) under uncultured bacterium. Its description in RNAcentral is "bacterial SSU rRNA". It matches the Rfam family "Bacterial small subunit ribosomal RNA", at positions 8 to 548 of the family's 1533-position model. The record is from RNAcentral.